CAGUCCUUGGUGAGAUUGGGGCAGGAUUUACUUUUACUAUAGUUGGUUAGUGUAGAGCAUGAUAGUGUAGUGGCAUGUAGCUGUAGAUUGUCUUCCAGCUUUUUCUACUAUCUUUACUUUCUUUUGUAGACUUAGUGAGUGGACCGAUGUUGUUGAGGGCGGCACCCACUGAGGACUACUUAUUUUUACAGUAGUUCUCACGCCCAGUUGUUACUCUUCUUUUGCAGAGCCAUCGGUUCCAACUGCUGCAUCUUCUGAGGCUGAUCGUGGCAAGGGCGUUGCGAGCUAGAGCCUUAUCCGACGAGUUGCCGAGAUAGAGGUCCCUGCUGCAGAUAGAUUUACUUUUGUUUGAGUUCAUGUACAUACAGAUGUUAUUACUCGCUGGGGCGAGUCUUUUUUUGUACCUGGAUAUUAUGUAUGUAUAUGGAACUCGCUUUUGUUUUACUUGUUCGUUUUCUUUCUAGCGGCUCUAUACUACUCGUUGUAGUGUUGUUUGAUUACAGUUUCAGUACAGCUUCGCUUCGUAUAUAGGAAAAACUCCUUCGUAUACGGCGGGUCUGUUGACAUGCCCAGGAAAACAUGUAAUCCGGGACGUGACAGAUUAAGUUGGUAUCAGAGCUUAGUAUUAGGUCGUUGAGACCUAGGAAACCUAAGUUUGGCAAACCUUAGGAAGGCAAGACGCGAGAGGCGUGAUUUAUCCCGAAAGUCAUUGAUUAAUUAUUUUAACUCCUCUUCGAGUGGAGUGAGUAAUUGGAGGAGUUCCUGUUUUGGCCUAUAAAAUUAUGUUGGCUGCAGACUACAUAAUUUUGAGGAGAAACAGGGGGUCGCCUUCUGGACUUUCGUUUGAUUGGGUCGAGAGUGAUUGUAUUUUAUUUGACCCUAUUCCGUUCUUUGCAGUUACAGCUAUGUAUCGUCGCCGAGGUCGACCGUCAUUGCUGGAGCUUGUCCAGUUGACGCAGGAUCGUGCGGGACCUUCCGAGAUGCCGGAGCAGGCAGAGGCGAGUGUACCUCCUGUCGUGGAGCAGAGUGUUCGACCGGAGGCUAGUGCAUCCCCUGACUUGGGUGCACAGAUAGCCGCCCUAACAGGUGACGAGGCUGCAGGGUGAGUUGUUGGAGAGGUUGUGCGAGAGAGUAGCUCCGCCACAGAGUACAGUACCGAGAGCUCCAGAGCAGGCUGUUCCACCUCCGACUACUUCAGCUGCAGCACCAGUCGCAGCCGUACCCCCGCCAGUGGAUAUCCCCGCAGUGCCGGUUGCGCCUCCUAGAGGGCCAGGACAGUUGACCGAGGCCGAGCAGGAGCGGAUGACCAAGAGGUUGGCCCGUUUUCGCCGUUUUGAUCCGCCGACCUUCGAUGGCAGUGGCACUGAGGCCUGGGUCGUUGAGGGCUGGGUCAGUGCGUUGGAGAAGCUAUUUGAGGAUCUGUUAAUUCCUAAGAGGGAGCAGGUAUCUUUGGGAGUCCAUUGCUUGGCAGGCGAUGCAGAUGCCUGGUGGAGAAGAGUGAGGCGAGAUCUGGGACUAGUAGUGUUGCAGUUGAGAUGGGAUGAGUUCUGUGGAAUACUGUAUGGGAUGUAUUUUCCUAACAGUGUGAAAUAGAAGUUCAAGGAGGAUUUUAAGAGGAUUCAGCAGGGGGAUCGGCCAGUGCAGGAGUACAUCCGGGAGUUUACUCGACUCCUGAACUGUGUGCCGUUUGUGGCCAGGGACGAGGCACACAGGGUUUAUCUAUUUGAGCAGGGGCUCAGACCCGAGAUCUUCAGGUUUGUGCGGGCGCAGAGGUCGAGAACCCUGGAUACGUCUAUAGAGCAGGCCUUAUGGGUGGAGAGAGGUGAGGUGUCGCUUCAGAAGAGGACUCAGGCAGCGGGACAGAGUCAGGACAAGAAGCGCCCAGCUCCAGACGAUGGAGGACAGUCGAGCAGCAGGCGUCUGCCGAGACCACCACGCUCACGGUCUCAGGGUCGUGGGUCUUCAUGGCGUCAGCGUUCUGGGGGAUUCCGUCAGCAGAGGCAGUUGCAGGGGUCGCCACAGUGUGUGAUUUGUGGGGGACCACAUGGGGCUCGACAGUGUGAGCAGCGUGAGCGCCGGUGUUUUGGAUGUGGACAGCCAGGGCAUAUGAGAUCAGCUUGUCCCCGAGCAGCAUUUCAAGCACCAUCUACGGCCUCAGCGCAGCCAGCAUCUCAGCAGUCUUUUGAAGCAGCUCCGAGUUUCCGCCAGGAGGACAGAUCGUCUGUGCCGCGUUAGAGUGAGCGGCGACAGCAAGCUCCGAGUGGUAGGGUCUAUACAGCCCAGGUGGAGGAUUCUACAGCAGUCGACCGAGUGGUAGCAGGUAUCAUUUUGAUUUCUAGCAUUAGAGCUCCUACACUUUUUGAUGCCGGUGCAUUGCAUUUUUUUAUUAGCCGAGCAUUUGCAUUGUUGCAUGGUCUAGAGUUAGGAUCAUUGCCACAGGCACGGGAGGUGCAGAUUUCCGACCAUGUGUUACAGGUUGCAGAGUGUUGUUGGUCAUGUUCGGUACAGCUGGGUUCGUGGGUCAUGCCCGCAGACCUGUUGGUGUUAGGGCAGCUGCAGGACUUCGACGUGGUGCUCGGUAUAGACUGGCUGGCGCGGUACUAUGCUACUAUCGAUUUUGGAGUGAGGACGGUGACGUUCCGCAAGCCAGGCCAGGAGGAGUUAACUUUUAGGGGCUGUAGGAGCACGUUGUUCGCUACUUGGAUUUCUUCCGCGAGGGCUCGACAGCUGAUGAGUAGAGGAUGCAUCGCUUUCCUAGCAGCAGUUGCUGAGGUACCUACGGCGGCGCCGGGACUCGAGGAUAUCCCUGUAGUCCGCGAGUUUCCGGAUGUGUUUCCCUCGGAGUUGACGACGAUGCCGCCGGAGAGGGAGAUUGAGUUCGUGAUUGAUGUAGUUCCUGAAACUGCACCAAUCUCAAAGGUACCUUAUCGGAUGGCACUGGCAGAGCUGAGAGAGCUAAAGGCGCAACUUCAGGAUCUGAUGGAUAAGGGGUAUGUGAGACCCAGUGUAUCGCCUUGGGGAGUGCCGGUGUUAUUUGUAAAGAAGAAGGAUGGUUCACUCAGGUUAUGUGUGGAUUAUUGGGAGCUGAAUAAAGUGACCAUCAAGAACAAGUAUCCUUUGCCGCGCAUCGAUGAUCUGUUUGAUCAGCUGCAAGGAUCUUGUGUCUUCUCAAAGAUUGACCUCCAGUCCGGUUACCACCAGCUGAGGGUGAGGGCUAAGGAUGUUUCCAAGACGGCUUUUCGGACUCGGUACGGGCAUUAGGAGUUAACGGUGAUGUCUUUUAGAUUGACCAAUGCCCCUGCCGCAUUUAUGGAUUUGAUGAAUAGAGUGUUCAAGUCGUUUUUGGAUAGAUUUGUGGUAGUCUUCAUCGACGAUAUCUUGAUAUACUCCCGGAGUGACACCGAGCAUAAGGAGCACUUGAGGAUUGUGCUACAACUUCUGCGAGAGAAGAAGUUGUAUGCCAAGUUGAAAAAGUGUGAGUUCUGGUUGCGGGAGGUUGCUUUCUUGGGCCACGUGAUUUCUGCAGAGGCAGUAGCAGUGGACCCGAAAAAAAUUGAUGCUAUUUGGGAUUGGCCCAGACCGACGACGGUGACAGAGGUGAAGAGUUUCCUGGGACUGGCAAGAUAUUACCGUCGGUUUGUGAAAGGUUUUGCGAAGCUUUCCACACCCCUCACUCGAUUGACUCGUAAAGAAUUUAAGUUUAUCUGGAGUGAGGACUGUCAUAGGAGCUUCGGUGAGUUGAGAUAGAGGUUGACGUCGGCUCCUAUCCUUGCCAUUCUAGUAAUGGGUGAAGGAUUUGUGAUCUACAGUGAUGCAUCGCACAGUGGUUUGGGCUGUGUGCUGAUGCAGCAUGGUAGGGUAAUUACUUAUGCUUCACGACAGUUAAAGGAUUACGAGAAAAAAGUACCCUACGCAUGACUUGGAGCUUGCCGCGGUAGUCUUUGCUUUGAAGUUGUGGCGGCAUUACUUGUAUGGCGAGCACUGCGAGAUUUUUACCGAUCAUAAAAGUCUUAAGUAUCUGUUCACCCAAAGGGAGUUGAACCUGAGGCAACGCCGGUGGUUGGACUUACAGAAGGAUUAUGACGUUAGUAUUCAGUAUUAUCCCGGCAAGGCAAAUGUGGUAGCAGAUGCGUUGAGCAGGAAGGCAGUGCAGAGCUUGAGUUUGAUGAUUACUCAGCAGAGGCCAUUACUUGAGGAGUUACAGCAGUUGAGGCUCGAGAUAGUGUCCCCCUGGGUCUACUGUAAGGCUGAUGUCUAUGGUCUUGCAGCUCACUUUGUUGGAUAGGGUCCGAGAGAAACAGAGUGGAGAUCCGCACUUGUCGAGAAUUCGAGAGUAGCUAGAGAGAAGACAGGCAGAGGGCUUUAUUAUGGACAAUUCGGGAGUAAUGCGGUACAGGGACCGACUGUGUGUGCCUGUGGAUUCAGAGAUUCGAGAGGACAUUUUGAGAGAGGCUCAUUGUUAGCCUUAUACGGUUCACCCUGGUGGAACCAAGAUAUAUAAGGAUUUGAAGGCACAGUUCUGGUGGAAUGGAAUGAAGAGGGACAUUGGCAGAUAUGUGGCUCAGUGUUUGACUUGUCAACAGGUGAAGGCAGAGCACUAGGUACUUGCUGGCAAGCUUCAGUGUCUGUCAGUGCCCGAGUGGAAAUGGGAGCAGAUCACGAUGGACUUCGUCGUGGGGUUGCCUAGAGCACAGGGUGGUUUCGAUGCUAUUUGGGUGAUAGUGGACAGACUGACCAAGUCUGCUCACUUCCUAUCAGUUCAGACCACCUGGUCCAGAGAGAGGCUCGCGCAGCUAUAUCUGGAUGAGAUCGUCAGGCUGCAUGGUGUGCCGAUAUUGAUUGUAUCGGACAGAGAUCCGAGGUUUGUUUCGCAUUUCUGGCGGAGUCUUCAGACAGCCUUGGGUACACAGCUACAUUUCAGCACGGCGUUUCACCCACAGACAGAUGAUCAGUCAGAGAGGACCAUACAGAUUCUAGAGGACAUGCUGAGAGCAUGCGUCCUGAACUUUGGAGGAGGGUGGUAUCGACAUUUGAGACUGGCUGAGUUUGUGUACAACAACAGCUAUCAAACGAGCAUCCAGAUGGCUCCGUUUGAGGCGUUGUAUGGACGCAGAUGUCGAUCCCCUUUGUUUUGGAGUGAUGUGGGUGAAAGGAAGACGCUAGGGCCUGAGAUCUUGCUAGAGGCUGAGGAAAAGGUGAGAGUGGUUCGACAACACCUUUUGACAGCCCAGAGCUGCCAGAGGAGCUAUGCCGAUACGAGGAGACGGGACUUAAGAGUUCCGGAUUGGAGAUCAUGUUUUUCUCAAAGUCUCGCCGUCCAGAGGAAUUCGCAGAUUCGGAGUGCGUGGAAAGCUCAGUCCACGUUUCGUUGGCCCUUUUGAGAUAUUGGAGCGAGUUGGACCGGUUGCUUAUAGGAUUGCUCUACCUCCCAGACUGGCCGGUAUUCAUAAUGUCUUCUACGUCUCGGCAUUAAGAAGAUAUGUUUUCGAUCCUUCUCACGUGAUUGACUUCACCCCUCUAGAGAUUGGCGACGAUCUGAGAUACGAGGAGUGACUGUUGCAGAUUCUUGCUCGCGAGAUGAAAGAAUUACUCAACCGGGUCAUCCCGUAUGUAAAAGUGCAGUGGAGUAAUCACGAGGAGCGAGAGGCGACUUGGGAGCCGCAGACGGUGAUGAGGGAGUCCUAUCCCUAUCUGUUUUGUACCCUGAGCUGAGGUAUGUGUUAGUUUCGAGGACGAAACUUUUUGUAGUGGGGAAGGAUGUGAUAUCCCUGGUGUUUAGCUUUUGAGGCUUGUUGACUCGCCGUGAGGGUGUCGGGAUAAGUCCGAGUCUCGUUGGCUCAAAAUAGACGCAAAACGGGCUCAGUAGGGAUGCGAGAGCAGGAGUUAGCAUUGGAAUAUGCAUAUUGCAGAUUUUUCUGCUUGUUGUACCGGUACAACAUCAGGGAUGUACCGGUACACUUUCUGUACCGGUACAGAAUCUGAAGUGUACCGGUACACUUCGCCUGUUUCCGCGCAGCUAUUCUCGGGUUGCUAUUUGUACCGGUACAGAUGCCCGUGUACCGGUACACCAGGGUAGGUGAGAAGGCAGUUUGGUCUUUUCCUCCCUCGUUCGUGUCACCCACCUACUCCCUGUUCCGGAUAGUUAGGUGCCGUUGGGAUUGACGGUGGACCCAAUUUGCUGAGUUGGCAUCAGAUUGUGCCGAAGGCACGUCACUCGUUGGUUGUUAGACCAGUUGGACCUUGUUUCUUGACUUUAGCAUGUGAGGAUUGAGCUCGAUAGAGAUACGCUUGCAUACUCGUUUGGGUCGCGCCCACGAGUGCCAUUCCGAAGUCGGGCUUAGUGCUUUUGUGUUGGUGUCGUUGUGUCCUGGUUGGACUAGCUCUCCACUAACUACUAACUACCCAGCGUGGUGGUUGUUAGUGUAGCUUCGACAGGCGGGACGGGUGUAUCACAGUCCCUGGUGAGAUUGGGUCAGGAUUUACUUUUACUAUAGUUGGUUAGUGUAGAGCAUGAUAAUGUAGUGACACGUAGCUGUAGAUUGUCUUCCAGCUUUUCCUAUUAUCUUUACUUCCUUCUGUAGACUUAGUGGGUGGACCGAUGUUGUUGAGGGCGCCACCCACUGAGGACUACUUGUUUUUAAAGUAGUUCUUACGCCCAGUUGUUACCCUUCUUUUGCAGAGCCAUCGGUUCCGGCUGCUGCAUCUUCUGAGGCUGAUCGUGGCAAGGGCGUUGCGAGCUAGAGCCCUACCCGACGAGUUGCUAAGAUAGAGGAUCCUUGCUGCAGGUAGAUUUACUUUUGUUUGAGUUCAUGUACAUACAGAUGUUAUUACUCGCUGGGGUGAGCCCUUUUUUGUACCUGGAUAUUAUGUAUGUAUAUGGAACUCGCUUUUGUUUUACUUGUUCCUUUUCUUUCUAGCUGCUCUAUACUACUGGUUGUAGUGUUGUUUGAUUACAGUUUCAGUACAGCUUCGCUUCGUAUACAGAGAAAACUCCUUCGUAUACGGCGGGUCUGUUGGCGUACUCGGAGAAACGUGUAAUCCGGGGCGUGACAUUUGAAGUAGAUGCCUAAAUUAAUGCCUAAUUAAUGCAUAAAUUUGGUUAAUCAAUUAAUUUCCUAAAUUAGUGCAAAUUAAUGCGUAAAUUUAGGACCUCAAUUAAAUUUUUUUUUUAAAUGUUGUAUUGUUUAAUUACCAAACUACCUUUGAAUAAAAAAAUCCUUUUACCUGCUAAGUAUUAAAAUUAUAUUUUUACCCUCUAUUAAUCAACGGUUAAGAUUUUUUUUUUUUUUAAAAAAAAAGUACCGAAUCAUUUCUCAUAGAAUAAUUCUGAUUUAUUUUUAUUAAUCUUUAGUUCGGAAGCCCAUUCAUAGUAUACAUAAGCUUCUUCCUC
Molecule: long non-coding RNA, 7390 nt
Filed under: Ananas comosus (pineapple)
Lineage: Eukaryota; Viridiplantae; Streptophyta; Magnoliopsida; Poales; Bromeliaceae
Description: long non-coding RNA (ACOM_LNC023048)
Source: RNAcentral